Molecule: long non-coding RNA, 537 nt
Organism: Fukomys damarensis (Damara mole-rat)
Lineage: Eukaryota; Metazoa; Chordata; Mammalia; Rodentia; Bathyergidae
Exons: 2
Source: RefSeq, a predicted model, not a curated record
CGCGCCACCCCCGCGGAGGAGAGAGGCGAACUGCUGGGCUUUGCCAGGGGACCGAGUGGGCGCUGGGUGGGGGGCGUGUGUGCUAGGGACUCGGAUGGGGAGUGUUGCGAUUUGCAGGAGACUUGUGUGGGUUUAGACGGCAGAAGAGAGGAGCUUAAAGUGACCCAUUGGUUGAUGACAGGGGGCAAGUGAGGGAAAGCCUUGGGGACAAUUAAGGGCCUGCCCUGCUGGCAUUCGUCAGAGUCCUCACAGGUCCUUGCACACCUGGAGAAUCCUGGAAGAUCUGGGGCAGCCAUGGCCCACAGGCAAGACCUGGGCAUCGAAUCACUGGCCACAACCUUCCUUUCCAAGGCCUCUGUGGACCACAACUGUUGGCAUAGGCACCUGACUGGGAAGUGUGCUUUGGGCUGCAGGUGCAUUCUUCAGGAGAAAAAGAAUACUUUGGCCACAUGCAUCUGUCAUGUGUGCACACAGGAAGGUGUGCAGAUUAAGCAAAAGUGACAUGACUGAAUAAAAAUGAUUUUUUUUGUGUGCUGA